Molecule: long non-coding RNA, 265 nt
Filed under: Lathyrus oleraceus (garden pea)
Lineage: Eukaryota; Viridiplantae; Streptophyta; Magnoliopsida; Fabales; Fabaceae
Description: Pisum sativum (pea) long non-coding RNA (PSAT_LNC012980)
Source: RNAcentral
UUUUUGGCUCUUUUUAGGUUAAAAUGCAUAAAAAUAAAUAAAAUAAUAAUUAAAAAAUGUUUAAUAACAAAAAAAGAAAAUUAAAAAUACAAAAAUAUAAUUUUUUUAAUUUUAAAUAUAAUGCAAAUAAAGAUAUAACAAAAAAGAGAAAAUACUCUAAAAUUUGGGAAAGGUGGGAUCAUAAUUAUAAUGAUAAUAAAAAUGAUAUUUCUCCUAAUAACUAUCUAUUUAGUAAUGAUAAUAAAAUUAAUAAUUAACACCAUUU